GAUGCUUCGGGAGAUGGCGAGCUGGACCUCAGUGGCAUUGAUGACCUGGAGAUUGAUAGGUACAUCCUGAAUGAGUCGGAAGCUCGCGUGAAGGCCGAGCUGUGGAUGAGGGAGAACGCCGAGUACCUGCGGGAACAGAGGGAAAAAGAAGCAAGAAUAGCCAAAGAGAAGGAGCUCGGCAUCUACAAGGAGCACAAGCCCAAGAAGUCUUGCAAGCGACGGGAGCCAAUUCAGGCCAGUACUGCCAGGGAGGCCAUCGAGAAGAUGCUGGAGCAGAAGAAGAUCUCCAGCAAAAUCAACUACAGCGUGCUCCGGGGCCUCAGCAGCGCCGGCGGGGGCAGCCCACACAGGGAGGAUGCGCAGCCCAAGCAUAGCGCCAGUGCCAGGAAGCUGUCACGAAGGAGGACGCCGGCCAGCAGAAGUGGGGCUGACCCUGUGACCAGUGUGGGGAAAAGGAGGGGCUGGGACAAUCAGUGGGGUCGGGAAGAAGAGUCCCCA
Molecule: small RNA, 498 nt
Filed under: Pongo abelii (Sumatran orangutan)
Lineage: Eukaryota; Metazoa; Chordata; Mammalia; Primates; Hominidae
Description: processed transcript
Source: RNAcentral